CGACUCUGCAAAACCUAAUUUAUUCGUUCUCGCUUGAUGUUUUCUUGAUUUUUAGUUGAUUGAUUAAUCCCAAUGAGGAAGCGAACCCAAAAGAUAGUUUUUUUUUCCAAUCCGAAUGUUAUGAUUUGUAGGCUCCAACAUGAUUGAUAUUGAAAUUUUGGUAUGGCGUUUGGUGGUUUUGCUGUGUUGGUCUAGAUCACUAAGGUCACCAAGGUAAAACAUGGAAGUGAAUUGGUGGUGGGUAUUGUAGUGCUUGUAGAGGUGCCUGGUGAAUUUAACGAGACUGGAGUCUAAUAACGGCACCACAUUUUCUGAGUUGAGAUUCUUGACUAAAAACUUCAUUUAAUUUCCUUGUUUCACCAAGGAUAUAUUUGUUGUUAGCAUAUGUUCUUUAUUACUCUGCACUCUGCUCAUAAAGAAAUUUUGGGAAAA
Long non-coding RNA from Papaver somniferum (opium poppy), 432 nucleotides. RefSeq lists it as uncharacterized. NCBI's taxonomy places the organism in Eukaryota, Viridiplantae, Streptophyta, Magnoliopsida, Ranunculales, Papaveraceae. The record is from RefSeq and is a predicted model, not a curated record. The transcript is spliced from 2 exons.